AGCCACCAAAAACCUGCCACCAAACCUACAAAGUCACCUGUCUCCACACCAGCUUCCUUCUGUGACACUGUCUUUCCUCCUAGCUAAGCCAGUGUCUUUGCAGAUGCUCUGCCUCCCUCAAUGUGUCUCCCACCUCCUCCACCUCUUCUCAACCUCUUCCUCUCUGCAGUUAUGGUCCUACCACCCAGAGAUUUGCUCUGUUAACAUAAUGCUAUGUUUCCUUUCAGCCUUUUUACACAUACAUAAGCAUACAUUUUAUACAUCAUUGGGAUUUUCAUCUAUGCCGGCAUUUGGACAGGUCAGCAGACUCACCAUGCUAUGGGAUUUAUUAUAUGAUUCGGACCUUCCACAGUUAUAAGGGGGAAAGAAGUAAAGGUCCAUGAUGGAGAUGUUGGUGGAGGAGAGGAGUCCUUAACCGGAAAACUAAAAAGCCAAACAUAUUAGGCUGAUUUUCCUGGUGGGCUCUGUAUAAUGUAUCUUUAUAAAAGGGGAGCAGUAGGAGAUUUGAACACAGCGUCAGGAAAUGUGAUGACAGAGCCGUGUGAGGAAGGGAUCCUGAGCCAAAGAGUGCAGGUGGCCUCCCGAAGCUAGAAAAGGCACAAAAACACAUUCUUCCCUGGAGCCUCCAGAAGGAACCAGACCCGCUGACAUGUUGGCUUUAGCUUGGUGAAACUGACUUUGAACAUCUGGCCUCCAGAAUUGCGAGAGAAUACAUUUGUGUUAUUCGAAGCCACUAAGUGUGUGGUAAUUCAUUACAGGAGCAAAAGGAAACAAAUGCACACAUUCAGUCAUAAAGUGAGAUCACUAAGGGACCAUGGCUGAAGAAGAUUGUUGAAAGCUGUCGCCUCUGUGUGGCUAGCUAUGUCCUCUGUGGAUCUGCAGGAUCAUCCCGUGCUGGGCCUGAGACCACCGCGGGUUGGUCAGCAAGGCCAGAAGCAAGAAGUGCUGGACAGAGAGCAGAGAAGAGCUAGGACCCUCUCAGUCACUUCUGCUCUGUCCUUCACUCCAUCUUGUCUCAGAUGCCUGCAGAAAGCAAUGAUGACUUUGUCACUUUUGCCGUCUAAAUCUCACGCAGGCUUCUCUUGGAGCCAGCUCUCACCCAUGUGGGGAACACAGUUCAGAGCUCUGGGACCCAUGGUUCCCAGCUUAGCUAAGUCUAUGCAACAUAACCCAACCUACGAUCAUACAGUUUUACAGGUUUUCAUCUGACUUUCCCUCGCCUCCACUUAAUAUAUCAAGAGCACUUUCCUAUACCAUUGACUAUUCCUCUAAAUUCAUUUAGAAGAAGUUCUGAUAAAAUAUUGACUUAGAGCAUUUUUUGUCUUUCUUUAUUACAAAUAGCACUGAAGUAGCUCUCUGUGCAUAUAAAUCUUUGUCAGUAGUUCUGACAAGUUUUGGGAAUGGAUUUCUAGAAAGAAGAGUUAGAGAAAGUAAAUUUCUACAGAUCGUGAUGAUUCUUGCCAAACUGAUUUCCAGAAAGGAUGUAUCAGCUUUCAUUCUUUUUUUGUUGUUGUUGUUGUUAUUCGAGCAUAGUUGAUUUACAGUGUUGGGUCAAUUUCUGCUGUACAGCAUAGUGACCCAGUCAUAUAUACAUAUACACAUUCUUUUUCUCAUAUUAUCUUCCAUCAUGUUCUACCUCCGAGAAUCUGGAUACAGUUCCCUGUGCUGUACAUCAGGACCUCAUUGCUUAUCCAUUCUAAGUGUAAUAGUUUGCAUCUCCAACCCCCAAUUCCCCAUCCAUCACACUUCCUCUCCCCUCCCCUCCACCAGUAUUAACACUGGGCCCUGGCCAGGGCUGAGUACCAUUUUUCAGUUCCCUUGAAGGGGCAUUUCUUGACAAUAUCUGAUGCUAGUCAUCCUUACAGCCUGAGAUUUGAGUAUGAGGUGAGCAGACUGGAACACUCAGCUCUGAGCUGGCUGGCUGGGCUGGAGACCCUGUCUCUGCUUUCCUCCAUGGGCACCUGUACCUUCAGAAGCUGCAUGCAUAGUGAAAGGGGACAACCUGCUUUGACAAAGAGUCCAGCAUUUUUCAGUCGUAACUUGGGGAAUAUAUUGCUUAAAAGGAAAUAUGUCUUCAUUAAACACUGUGUACAAGGGAAAUCACCAUUUUUGUUUCACAAAUAAAGCAGAAAUAAAAUGAGAGCAAAUGACUUCUCGAAUUGCAGCUGGCAAGUCCCUAGAAGAGUCAUGAUGAGCAUUUAGUUUCCUAAAGUGUUCAUGAUUUAAGACAUUUAAAAGCACCUAUAUUCUACCAAAAACUGGGUUCUGCAUCAGACCUAGGAAAAGAACAAUCUUUGAUUUAGUGCUAAAACUCUAAAACACUGGCUAAUUCCCAUUGCGAAGAUUUGAUUUAAUAAGGAUAGUUUUAUGGCACCCUACUUUAAAUAAUCUCUUUUGACUCUCAGCUUUAUUGCAACAGAAAUGAAAAAUAAAACAUGCUUGUCUCAUGGAAGUGACCCAACAAGAAAAGCUCUGACACCAGGAAUGUUGACCAGGGAGUGACUGAGCAGUCUAUGCAGCAUAUUUCCCCAAAUUUAUAUUUCAGCUGAAAUAUAACAGUUAGGGGGAUAAGCCGUAAUUGGUACAUUGAGACAAGAAAUUAAUACUGACUUAUCUUCUCUCCAAACUGCAAAGUGCAUUUUUAUAUACAAUCUCAGAAUGCUAAUAAAAUAAUCCAGUUUCCAUUUAUCAAAAUUAGAGAUGUCUACAUUUCUGAUGACUGAUUUACUUUAUGAAAUCCUAUUUUAGAGUUAUCAGACUGUCAGAGAUCUUUAGGAAAUUUCUGCCUGAAGUGAGCCAACCAACCAACAAACUUUCACUUAACACACACAAAACUAGAGAAGGCUGCAAGUGGUCUCCAAACCAGCAGUAUUAACGUCCCUUUGGAAAUGGUUAGAAAUGCAGAUUCUCAGGGCUUAGCUCAGAUCCAAAACUCUAGGGGUAGGGCUGGGCAAUUUUUGUUUUAACAAGCUCUCUGAUGCAUGCUGAAGUUAAUUUAAGAACUACUGAUCUAGAGUCCUGUCUUCAUUCUGCAGGCGAGGAAGCUGAAGCCUGGAGAGGCUGAGUAUCAUUCUCUAAAUCACAUGAGAAGCUAAUGACAGAGCAGGACCAGACAACCUGGUCCAUAGACAAUUUCAGUAGUCUUUCUACAAGUAGCUUCUCUGAAAUAUGCAGCAUGGAUGAAAGUAUGUUUAGUACAUUCCACCAAUGCAGCCAAGCCAGCAAUGGGUAGUAUACUUAGAAAGGAAAAGUUAGUGCUACAAGAAGUGACACAUACAGAGCUUAGCCACUAAGAAAAUUCACCUCUGUGGAACAGUCAACUAACACUUCAAUGACCUAGAUGAAUGAGCUAUUACUAUACCUCAGGGUUACAUAUUUUAAUCAUAAGCAUUAGAGCAAACUAUAUUGAGAUCACAAAAUUUCUCACAGAGGUCUGUGUGGAAUCUGCCGUUACUUGUCUUAUAAAACAUAAAAAAAUAAAAUAAAAUAAAUUCCCUUUGAGAGAAUUACCUUGCUCAAAUGACCUUAUUCACUGGGGGUAAAGAAAAAAUUGGGGAGGUUUUACCAAAUUGCAUCCACAGUUUCUAUUAUCUCUAUUCAAAGGGGACUUUUUCUAUCUCAAAAGGGAAACUCCUGCCAAAAUACCAAUGGGAACAGAAUUUGUUAUAACUGAUUUUCAUGGUAUGUUAAGAAUCUUAUAGAUGAUAAGGAAAAAAAUCGAAUAAUUUCCAACUCAUAUUGUGACCUUAUUAAAUGAUUAAAUUUCUCUUCAUUUAAUCAAGUUGCAUUUCACCAGAUGGAAGAAGGGAUUUAUUUGAUUGAACUUUUUUCAUAUUCACCAAGAACAUGUUAAGUCCCAUAAUUAUCUAGGAUAUGCCACCUCAAUUUUAACAGUUUCCUAGUUCAGCAAGAAUCAAAUGACCCAUGUGGCACUGUCUUUACUGAAAUAUAGGUCUACCUGCACAAUGUAAGCCUGAAUCCAAAACACCUAAGACACUGGCACUUUUCUAUUAAGUCAUGGACACGAUCUAUGACUUUAGAAAGAUAUGGAGCAAAUACCUAUGGAAUUCUCACAUAAAUUCAAAGAAGCAGAAAUGGAAUGUGAGCCACAUAGGCAACUUGAAAUUUUCUAGAAUCAAACCUGCACCACAGUAAUGACAAUGCCAGAUCCUGAACCACUAGGCCACCAGGAAACUCCCUGAAAUCUACUGUAUGUUUUAUAUUUACAUAUAUCUCAAUUUGAUGAGCCAUAUGUCAAGUGCUAAACCAGCCACAGGUGGCUAGUGAUGACAGUAUUGGAUGGCACAGGUGUAGACUUACUAAUCUGCUGGACAUAUUUCUAGAUACUUCCCUUAGACUACCUUCACCCUAAUCUCAACUUUCAGAUUGUCAUCGAACUCUCUGACCUCUUUAAGCAACUUUUUUGAAAUGCCCCUGGGGGGCUUCCUGCUGCGGCUCGGGGGAAAUGAACCUGACUAGUAUCCAUGAAGAUACAGGUUCAAUCCCUGGCCUCGCUCAGUGGGCCGAAGGAUCUGGCAUUGCUGUGAGCGGUGGGGUAGGUCACAGACAUGGCUCAGAUCUGGCGUCGUUGUGGCUCUGGUGUAAGUUGACAGCGGCAGCUCUGAUUCGACCCCUAGCCUGGGAACUUCCAUAUGCC
Molecule: long non-coding RNA, 4657 nt
Filed under: Sus scrofa (pig)
Lineage: Eukaryota; Metazoa; Chordata; Mammalia; Artiodactyla; Suidae
Description: lncRNA (ENSSSCG00050048911.1)
Source: RNAcentral